GCUCCUAGCACCUGCCUUAGCUGUUCCUUUAGUUGCAUCCGAUUACCUGUAUAUUUGGACAUAGAUACUUAGCUCAGACCGAAGACUCUAUCUGAAACAUGAAACAUUGUUUUCCCUCUUGCCCAGAAACCUCAAAAUUUACUGAAGUGGUAUUCUGACCACCUGUCUUUCUCAAGGGAUUCAUGUCAGCUAAGCCAGUUUGUCACACUGCUUAGAGAGAAGGGCUAUUAGCUGGUAUUUUCCUGUUUAUUCUGCAGUUUAACUAGCACAGUUAGACAUUAUCCUCUUUCCAUGUAUCAGCUGAGUUCAUUUGUUGAAGUAUUUAUUUCCUUUUAACAGUUGAUUAAAUUUUGUGUUCCUAAAGUUCACAAUACAAAAAUGCUUAAUGAUAUAUUACAAAGUGAUUACCUGUAUAGGCACCAUUCAUUAAAAAAAAAAAAAAUCACCAGAACCCAGAGCCCGCAGCCAGGUCCCUAUAUUCAUCUCCCUCUCCAGAAAAGACAACCACCUCUCAUACUGUUUCAAUAACCAUAUUCAUACAUUUCUUUAUAGUUUUAUCUCUGCAGUGAGCAUCCUUAAACACUAUAGAUUUAAUUAUUUUGUAUUUGGCUUUUAUAUCAAUAUUGUAUUCCAUUGUGAUUCUUUCAGGUUGUUAUUCGGACCUAUUAAUUUCCAUUAGAAAUUGAGGGAAUGUCCAUUAAACAACAAUAGGAUCCCAUACACAACUGCCAGAAUGUCUCAAAUUGAAAAAUCUUGACAAUAUCAGAUGUUAGCAAGGGGUUGAUGUAGUGAAUGCAAAUAUAUGCAAACAUUCUGGAAACCAUUUUACUUUUAUCUACUAGCAUUUGAGGUUGCAUAUCCAUAUCCUCGGACUCAGCAAUUCUGCCCCUAGAUGUUUAUCUCGCAGAAGCACAUGAACAAGUUAUAACCAAAACAUAUUUCAGGAACAUAGCAGCAUUAGUCACAAUAUUUGAAAACUAGAAACUUUCCAAGUGAAUAACAACAGUAGAAAGAUAAGUUACUAAAUUCAUACAAUGAAUUAUAAAGAGUGAGAAAUAUUUGAGUUUUCAAGUUUCUUAUGCUCUUUCCUGUACAUAUGCUAUAUUUCUCACUUUAAAAGAAAAGGAGGCAAAAACAUCUAUAACAAACUAAAACAAAUCUGUACCUCCAUACUGCAAAAUCAGCUACUAGGUCAGUUUAGAUCUUUUGCCUAUCUUUCGCCUAUUGGUUUAUCUAUAUAUUGUUAUCUGUAGGAAUUCUUUUUCUAUAUAGGUUAGACCCUUAGGUCUAUUAUGUGUUGCAAAUACCUCCUAUCUAUCCUAUUGUUUCUUUACUCAUUCUGUUGUUGUUCAGUCAAUAAGUCCUGACUGACACUUUGUGACCUCAUGAAUGGCAGUAAGCCAGGCUUCCCUGUCCUUCGCUAUUUUCCCAGAGUUUGCUCAAACUCAUGUCCAUUGAGUCCGUGAUGCCAUCCAA
Molecule: long non-coding RNA, 1476 nt
Filed under: Capra hircus (goat)
Lineage: Eukaryota; Metazoa; Chordata; Mammalia; Artiodactyla; Bovidae
Description: lncRNA (ENSCHIG00010002461.1)
Source: RNAcentral